CGUCCCAGUUCGGAUUGUAGUCUGCAACCCGACUACAUGAAGCUGGAAUCGCUAGUAAUCGCGAAUCAGAAUGUCGCGGUGAAUACGUUCCCGGGUCUUGUACACACCGCCCGUCACACCAUGGGAGUCGGAAAUGCCCGAAGUCAGUGACCUAACCGAAAGGGAGGAGCUGCCGAAGGUGGAGCCGGUAACUGGGGUGAAGUCGUAACAAGGUACC
RNAcentral lists this ribosomal RNA (217 nucleotides) under uncultured bacterium. Its description in RNAcentral is "partial 16S ribosomal RNA". It matches the Rfam family "Bacterial small subunit ribosomal RNA", at positions 1284 to 1500 of the family's 1533-position model. The record is from RNAcentral.